Molecule: RNA transcript, 846 nt
Organism: Carlito syrichta (Philippine tarsier)
Lineage: Eukaryota; Metazoa; Chordata; Mammalia; Primates; Tarsiidae
Gene name: DNA damage-inducible transcript 4 protein pseudogene
Exons: 1
Source: RefSeq, a predicted model, not a curated record
UGCGGGUGGGUCGAGGGACGGGUCUGGGCCGCGCUCGUAGUUGGCACCGGGUCACACACCCAUUCGAGCGGCAGGACGCCCUUGUUCCAGCAGUUCUCGCUGACCGCGCCAGCUGCCGCUUCUGCGAUCCCGGUACCCUGGGCUCAUCAGCAAACGCCCUGGCGUCCGUCCUCACCAUGUCUAGCCUUUGGGACCGCUUCUCAUCGUCCUCCUCCUCUUCGUCCUCCUCCUUGUCCCGAGCUCCCACCCCAGAGCGGCCGCCGCGCUCCGCCCGGGGCUCGGGGGCCCGAGAGGAGGGACUUGACCGCGCUGCGCGAGUCUGGAGAGCUCGGACUGCGAGGCCCUGGCCGGGAGCAGCAGUGGCUUCGGGCCGGAGGAAGACUCGGCAUACUAGGAUGGGGUGUCGCUGCCCGACUUCCAGCUGCUCACCGAGGAUGAGCCCCUGUGUGGCAACCUGAUGCCGCGGCUGCAGGAGAGCCUGGUCCAGGCAGCGCGCGCUCGCGGCGCCCUGCGCGCCUGCUGAUGCCCGGCCCGCUGGUGAGCCAGGUGGGCAAGGAAGCGCUGCGCCCGGCUUACAGCGAGCCGUGCGGCCUGCGGGGGGCGCUGCUGGACGUCUGCGCGGAGCAAGGCAAGGGCUGCCUUGGACCCCAGCCUGGUGCCCCCCUUCCAGCGGACCCUCGUGCUGCGCCUGGACUCAUGCCUCUGGCCCAAGAUCCAGGGGCUGUUUAGUUGGGCCAACUCUCCCUCCCCGCUGGCUUCAGCCAGUCCCUGACGCUGAGCGCUGGCUUCCGAGUCAUCAAGAAGAAGCUGUACAGUUCUGAGCAGCAGCUCACUGAGGCGUGUUGA